Molecule: long non-coding RNA, 567 nt
Organism: Lycium barbarum (goji berry)
Lineage: Eukaryota; Viridiplantae; Streptophyta; Magnoliopsida; Solanales; Solanaceae
Exons: 2
Source: RefSeq, a predicted model, not a curated record
CAAUUUGCUGAAACUUUAUAUUAGUAGGGUACAAGCUACUUGCCAAAUGACUAUAAUUGUGACACCCAUGAUCCAACACUAAAUUCACACGCUUUGUAACUCUUUUUCAAUUCAACUACAAAUAGUCUUCCUCCCAAUUUUUUCUGCUUUGAUACAGCUAUUCAACUUCCAACCAAUCUCCUCCAUAACCUCCUUGUCAUAAAUCUGUAUUAUAACUCUCACUUUUGAUUUUCUUUUAGCUUAAGAAUUAGAACAAGAAAGAGGAGGUUCUUAUCUCAAGGUGAAAAUAAAAGAUGGGUCAUCACCACCAAAACCAUGAAGGAAAGAGAGAGAGGCCAAGAAUAUUGGCAUGUUGUUGUUGCCCUUGUUUAGUAGUGUCCUCUACAUUCUCUAUGUUAAAGAGGUGUCUCUUUGUGGCCUGUUUUCCUGUUUUGCAGUGUUUUGGAUUAGAUGAACACAGACAUCAACAUCACCAUCACAAACAUUUCUGACAAUACUCACAAUUUAUAGAACUGAUUUUUGAGUCUUGAAUUCAUAGCAAGAUUAACUUCUGAUUAGCUGUCGAAA